Molecule: unclassified non-coding RNA, 180 nt
Filed under: Glomeromycetes sp.
Lineage: Eukaryota; Fungi; Glomeromycota; Glomeromycetes
Description: partial contains 5.8S ribosomal RNA and internal transcribed spacer 2
Rfam family: 5.8S ribosomal RNA (bases 1-71)
Source: RNAcentral
GUGAAUCAUCAAAUCUUUGAACGCAAAUUGCACUCUCUGGCAUUCCGGAGAGUAUGCCUGUUUGAGGGUCAGUAUAUAUAAAAACCGAGGUGUUGCUGUUUUGUGACCCAUCGGAAUUGGGAUAGAUUUGACCUUUUAAAAAGUUUAAGUGCCCUAAAAUUGAUACCUUGUGCACCUCAG